Molecule: long non-coding RNA, 348 nt
Filed under: Coffea arabica (coffee)
Lineage: Eukaryota; Viridiplantae; Streptophyta; Magnoliopsida; Gentianales; Rubiaceae
Description: long non-coding RNA (CARA_LNC001388)
Source: RNAcentral
UCAAUUUCACCAUGGCCAAAUCCUCCCUCCUAACCAUAGCAUCCCUUAUCUUGAGUUUUGCUAUUUGGUCCAACUUAGGUGCAGCUGUGCCUAUGCAGAUGGCAGAAACUGGGAAUGCAUCUCGAGAAAAAAUCAGACUCUCCCACCUAAGUCAUCCAAACCCGAACGAGUCCACUAGUAAUGUUACUGCCAUAAGUAAAACUUUCAACCCUCUAGCAGACAUCAACAAAUUUAGGCUUUGUCCAUGUCUUUAUAUAUACUGCUUGUGUAUGUGUCCCUGCCAAGCUUGUAAUUGCUGAUAUGUUGAAUGUAAUCCACCAUCCAAUUUAUCUUCUAAUGGUGUGGCUG